UAAGACGUAGGAAGCAAGCGUUGUCCGGAAUUACUGGGCGUAAAGAGCUCGUAGGCGGGAUCGUAAGUCUUAGAGUAAAUCUCACGGCUCAACCGUGGGGCCUUCUGAGAUACUGCGAUUCUUGAGGAUGUCAGAGGAAAGUAGAAUUCCCGGUGUAGCGGUGAAAUGCGUAGAUAUCGGGAGGAAUACCAGUGGCGAAGGCGACUUUCUGGGACAUUCCUGACGCUGAGGAGCGAAAGCGUGGGGAGCAAACGGG
This 256-nucleotide ribosomal RNA is filed under the name uncultured bacterium. RNAcentral describes it as "partial 16S ribosomal RNA". It matches the Rfam family "Bacterial small subunit ribosomal RNA", at positions 521 to 776 of the family's 1533-position model. RNAcentral also lists the same sequence under 1 other name. The record is from RNAcentral.